Phascolarctos cinereus (koala) is the source of this 405-nucleotide long non-coding RNA. RefSeq lists it as uncharacterized. The record is from RefSeq and is a predicted model, not a curated record. Lineage: Eukaryota; Metazoa; Chordata; Mammalia; Diprotodontia; Phascolarctidae.
GAAGGAAGGAAGAAGGAGGAAAGAAAUGAAUUAGUAUUUCUUGAAAUUCAGGUGCCACAAGUGAAGGUUAUUCAAACAAAGACCUAUGAAGAUUUGAGGACUCCUAGAACACACUAGCUGCAGCCAAAAAAAAAAAACACCCUGAAAACAAAGACGGAUGCAUAGACCAUUUGGAAAUAGUUGAUCAAACAGUAAUAUAUGAAGAUGAUGAGAUACUAUUGUGCCAUAAGAAAUGACAAAUAUAAAUAAUCCAGAGAAAUGAGAAAAGACUUGUAUGAACUAAUGCAAAAGACAGUAACUACAACCAGUGGAACAAUAUGCAUGACUACAAAAAUAUAAAAGAAAACAACACUAAAAAGUAGUUGAAGUCAGAAUAACUGAAAUAAACCUUAGUCUUGGAGAAUA